Molecule: ribosomal RNA, 427 nt
Filed under: uncultured cyanobacterium
Lineage: Bacteria; Bacillati; Cyanobacteriota
Description: bacterial SSU rRNA
Rfam family: Bacterial small subunit ribosomal RNA
Source: RNAcentral
GGGGAAUUUUCCUGCAAUGGGCGAAAGCCUGACGGAGCAAUACCGCGUGAGGGAGGAAGGCUCUUGGGUUGUAAACCUCUUUUCUCAGGGAAUAAGAACUGAAGGUACCUGAGGAAUCAGCAUCGGCUAACUCCGUGCCAGCAGCCGCGGUAAUACGGAGGAGGCAAGCGUUAUCCGGAAUUAUUGGGCGUAAAGCGUCCGUAGGUGGUUUAGUAAGUCUGCUGUUAAAGCGCGGGGCUUAACUCCGNUAUCGGCAGUGGAAACUACUAGACUANAGUGUGGUAGGGGUAGAGGGAAUUCCCAGUGUAGCGGUGAAAUGCGUAGAUAUUGGGAAGAACACCGGUGGCGAAAGCGCUCUACUGGGCCAUAACUGACACUGAUGGACGAAAGCUANGGGAGCGAAAGGGAUUANAUACCCCUGUUAGUC